RNAcentral lists this unclassified non-coding RNA (240 nucleotides) under soil metagenome. RNAcentral's name for it is "partial contains 5.8S ribosomal RNA, internal transcribed spacer 2, and large subunit ribosomal RNA". The record is from RNAcentral.
AACCUAGCACACCUGCGGUGUGUACCUGCGGAAGGAUCAUUACAGAGUUACUACUCCAAACCCAUUGUGAACCUUACCUAUGUUCUGUUGCCUCGGCGGCGCGGUCAGCGCCCCUCUGAAAAGAGGACGAUGCCCUCCCGCCGGCAGCACCAAACUCUUGAAUUUUACAGCGGAUUACAGUUCUGAUUUAAAAACAAAAAAAACAAGUUAAAACUUUCAGCAACGGAUCUCAGAUCGGAA